AAACAUAUCCCCCCUUCAUUUUGACAUGUCUUUUUUGAAAAUAGUAGCUAUUAGCUAAGUUAUAAAAUUUUAUUUGAGUCAUUAGUAUUAAGUUCUAUGUAUUCAAGAUUGAUUUGAUAUUAUGGUUGUGACUAAGUGUUACAUACAAGGAUAUGCUUAUAGUUUCUAGUAAUGUAUAUAUUACUAUUGGUUUAUGCCGCCAGUUACUCCAAAUAGGAAGCUUAGUCAUGAUCAUUGAUUUAUACACUAUGCAUUUUGUUUUAUUUUUUUAUUUGAGCACCUAGAUAUCAAUUGUUUGUGUAAAAU
RNAcentral lists this unclassified non-coding RNA (306 nucleotides) under Hevea brasiliensis (rubber tree). The record is from RNAcentral. Lineage: Eukaryota; Viridiplantae; Streptophyta; Magnoliopsida; Malpighiales; Euphorbiaceae.